AGAGCUCGUAGGCGGUUUGUCGCGUCUGCCGUGAAAGUCCGGGGCUUAACUCCGGAUCUGCGGUGGGUACGGGCAGACUAGAGUGCAGUAGGGGAGACUGGAAUUCCUGGUGUAGCGGUGAAAUGCGCAGAUAUCAGGAGGAACACCGAUGGCGAAGGCAGGUCUCUGGGCUGUAACUGACGCUGAGGAGCGAAAGCAUGGGGAGCGAACAGGAUUAGAUACCCUGGUAGUCCAUGCCGUAAACGUUGGGCACUAAGUGUGGGGGACAUUCCACGUUUUCCGCGCCGUAGCUAACGCAUUAAGUGCCCCGCCUGGGGAGUACGGCCGCAAGGCUAAAACUCAAAGGAAUUGACGGGGGCCCGCACAAGCGGCGGAGCAUGCGGAUUAAUUCGAUGCAACGCGAAGAACCUUACCAAGGCUUGACAUGAACCGGAAUGAUGCAGAGAUGUGUCAGCCACUUGUGGCCGGUUUACAGGUGGUGCAUGGUUGUCGUCAGCUCGUGUCGUGAGAUGUUGGAUUAAGUCCCGCAACGAGCGCAACCCUCGUUCCAUGUUGCCAGCGGGUUAUGCCGGGGACUCAUGGGAGACUGCCGGGGUCAACUCGGAGGAAGGUGGGGACGACGUCAAAUCAUCAUGCCCCUUAUGUCUUGGGCUUCACGCAUGCUACAAUGGCCGGUACAAAGGGUUGCGAUACUGUGAGGUGGAGCUAAUCCCAAAAAGCCGGUCUCAGUUCGGAUUGAGGUCUGCAACUCGACCUCAUGAAGUUGGAGUCGCUAGUAAUCGCAGAUCAGCAACGCUGC
RNAcentral lists this ribosomal RNA (799 nucleotides) under uncultured bacterium. RNAcentral describes it as "bacterial SSU rRNA". It matches the Rfam family "Bacterial small subunit ribosomal RNA", at positions 564 to 1360 of the family's 1533-position model. The record is from RNAcentral.